UAGCGAGGGGGGCAAGCGUUUGUUCGGAAUUAUUGGGCGUAAAGGGUGCGUAGGCGGUCUGAUAAGUCAUCUGUGAAAUCUAUGGGCUCAACCCAUAGUCUGCAGGCGAAACUGUCGGGCUUGAGUAUGGGAGAGGUGAGUGGAAUUUCCGGUGUAGCGGUGAAAUGCGUAGAUAUCGGAAGGAACACCUGUGGCGAAAGCGGCUCACUGGACCAUUACUGACGCUGAUGCACGAAAGCUAGGGGGAGCAAACAGG
This 256-nucleotide ribosomal RNA is filed under the name uncultured bacterium. RNAcentral describes it as "partial 16S ribosomal RNA". It matches the Rfam family "Bacterial small subunit ribosomal RNA", at positions 523 to 776 of the family's 1533-position model. The record is from RNAcentral.